UCCUACAGUGACAUUUCCCAAAGCAUGUUCUUCAAGAUGUUAAUAUUCUAUUUAAAUGAAAGAAAAAGGAAGAAAGAAAAAGAAAGGAAGAAAAGAAGAAGGAAGAAAAAGAAGGGAGGGAGAAGAAAGGAAAGAAAAAGAAAAGAUAAACUCGUAAGUUUGGAAAGCACUUUCAUUACAGAAAGAUUUAUCAGACUAUUAUGUUAAUAUCCAUGUGACACUAAGAAAGAAAUCAUCUGUUGGAGAUAAAUAUAGAAUAGUUUCAAAAUCUGCUUUCUCUACAUCAGAGUGUCUGGGUUUAAGUGACCUUUCCCAAUGUUCUAUGUUCUUUGUCAAAUGACUUCGUUUCUCUGAUUUUAGUUCCCUGAUCUGCAAAACUAGAUAAUGAUUAUGACCUCUGAAAUGGCCUGCAACUAUCCUCUCACACUGUGUUCACACAGUGUCUCUUCCCCCAUGAGAAAGGACUGACUUGUGUAGCCCACAGGAUGUUGCAGAGUUGUAUUCAAAGCUGAGUCAUGAAAGACACUGUAUCUCCUCCUUGCUCUGUCUUGGAUAACUUGCUCUGGAGGAAGCCAACUGCCAUGUCAUGAGGACCCUCUAAGAGCCCAUUAGAAUGCCCAUGUAGAGAAAAAACCUUCAACCAAUAACCAGCACCAACAUGGCAGCCACGUGAGCAAGCCAACUGGGAAGUGCAUCCUAAGGACAUAAUCAAGCCCUCAGAGGACCUCAGCUAAGGCUGAUGACCUGACUGCAGCUAAAUGAGAGAUAUUGAGUCUGAACUCCCAGGCAAGAUGCUACCAAACUCUUGACCUAUAGAAAAGCAUGAGCCCAAAGAGAAGCCAUCCACUUUACCAGGCAUGAGUGGAAGAAGCAGCAACAAAUUCUAAUACUUGCAGGAAAACUGAGUGUGUUGGAGUUUUUGAGAGAAAAAAUUCUCACGGCUCCACAGUAGCAUUGAAAACUAACAGACCACAGGCCGGGCACCGUGGCUCACGCCUGUAAUCCCAGCACUCUGGGAGUCCGAGGUGAGUGGAUCACAAGAGACAGAGUCUUGCUCUGACCAGGCUGAAGUGCAGUGGCAUGAUCUUGGCUCACUGCAACCUCCGCCUCCCAGGUUCAAGUAAUUUCCCUGCCUCAGCCUCCUGAGUAGCUGGGACUACAGGUGUGUGCCACCACACCCAACUGAUUUUUUUUUUUUUUUUUUUUUUUUUUGUAUUUUAGUGGAGACAGGGUUUCACCAUGUUGGCCAGGAUGGUCUCAAUCUCCUGACCUCGUGAUCCACCCACCUUGGCCUCCCAAAGUGCUGGGAUUACAGGCGUGAGCCACUGCACCUGGCUGUGUAUUCUAAUCUUAUGGGUGAAUAGCAUCUGAUAUGAACAGAAUAUCUUUGAAACUUGUAAGCCAAACUUGCAGCUUUGAGGGAGAUAAAGAAACCAUUUACCAAACAAUAUGGAAAACACUAAAAUCCCCAAAGAAAGGGAAAAUUAAAUGUAACUUUUACUAGGAAUUUACCAUAUUAACAUGUUUAGCAUCCUACCUGGCACAUAAGUGGCCAAUGAAUGAUAACCAAAAGAAAAAACAAUAAUGUUAAGUGCGGCUACUGGCUCUAUUUUACAAAUAAAGAUGUUGAAACUCAAA
This is a long non-coding RNA of Mandrillus leucophaeus (drill), 1638 nucleotides long. RefSeq lists it as uncharacterized. The record is from RefSeq and is a predicted model, not a curated record. NCBI's taxonomy places the organism in Eukaryota, Metazoa, Chordata, Mammalia, Primates, Cercopithecidae. The transcript is spliced from 4 exons.